GGCGAACGGGUGAGUAAUACGUGAGUAACCUGCCCUUGACUCUGGGAUAAGCCUGGGAAACUGGGUCUAAUACUGGAUACUACCUCUUACCGCAUGGUGGGUGGUGGAAAGGGUUUUACUGGUUUUGGAUGGGCUCACGGCCUAUCAGCUUGUUGGUGGGGUAAUGGCUCACCAAGGCGACGACGGGUAGCCGGCCUGAGAGGGUGACCGGCCACACUGGGACUGAGACACGGCCCAGACUCCUACGGGAGGCAGCAGUGGGGAAUAUUGCACAAUGGGCGGAAGCCUGAUGCAGCGACGCCGCGUGAGGGAUGACGGCCUUCGGGUUGUAAACCUCUUUCAGUAGGGAAGAAGCGAGAGUGACGGUACCUGCAGAAGAAGCGCCGGCUAACUACGUGCCAGCAGCCGCGGUAAUACGUAGGGCGCAAGCGUUGUCCUGGAAUUAUUGGGCGUAAAGAGCUCGUAGGCGGUUUGUCGCGUCUGCUGUGAAAGCCCGGGGCUCAACCCCGGGUCUGCAGUGGGUACGGGCAGACUAGAGUGCAGUAGGGGAGACUGGAAUUCCUGGUGUAGCGGUGAAAUGCGCAGAUAUCAGGAGGAACACCGAUGGCGAAGGCAGGUCUCUGGGCUGUUACUGACGCUGAGGAGCGAAAGCAUGGGGAGCGAACAGGAUUAGAUACCCUGGUAGUCCAUGCCGUAAACGUUGGGCACUAGGUGUGGGGGACAUUCCACGUUUUCCGCGCCGUAGCUAACGCAUUAAGUGCCCCGCCUGGGGAGUACGGCCGCAAGGCUAAAACUCAAAGGAAUUGACGGGGGCCCGCACAAGCGGCGGAGCAUGCGGAUUAAUUCGAUGCAACGCGAAGAACCUUACCAAGGCUUGACAUUCACCGGACCGCCCCAGAGAUGGGGUUUCCCUUCGGGGCUGGUGGACAGGUGGUGCAUGGUUGUCGUCAGCUCGUGUCGUGAGAUGUUGGGUUAAGUCCCGCAACGAGCGCAACCCUCGUUCUAUGUUGCCAGCACGUGAUGGUGGGGACUCAUAGGAGACUGCCGGGGUCAACUCGGAGGAAGGUGGGGAUGACGUCAAAUCAUCAUGCCCCUUAUGUCUUGGGCUUCACGCAUGCUACAAUGGCCGGUACAAAGGGUUGCGAUACUGUGAGGUGGAGCUAAUCCCAAAAAGCCGGUCUCAGUUCGGAUUGAGGUCUGCAACUCGACCUCAUGAAGUCGGAGUCGCUAGUAAUCGCAGAUCAGCAACGCUGCGGUGAAUACGUUCCCGGGCCUUGUACACACCGCCCGUCAAGUCACGAAAGUUGGUAACACCCG
This 1317-nucleotide ribosomal RNA is filed under the name Kocuria rosea. RNAcentral's name for it is "bacterial SSU rRNA". It matches the Rfam family "Bacterial small subunit ribosomal RNA", at positions 97 to 1423 of the family's 1533-position model. The record is from RNAcentral. Lineage: Bacteria; Bacillati; Actinomycetota; Actinomycetes; Micrococcales; Micrococcaceae.